UUAAGUAAUGGAAAUUUUUCGUUUCUGCAAGCAAUCUGAAUACCUAAACAUCGUUUUUUUUUUAAUUUUUUAUUUUAAAUAAUAGUAAUGGGGCGUAUAUUUAUAUAAAAUGAAGAAAAAAAUGCUAAGAAAAACCGAGCGAGAAUCUGGCAAUUUGAAAAGAAAAGUUGAUCAUGAAAUUGCUAAACUGGUGGUAACAUGUAAAAAAAUGAUUCAGUAUUUAUAGAUAUUGAAGAUAUAAGCAAAUAAUGUUAGCAUUGUGGAGCUUUGAGAUAUGAAUAGGAAGUAAACCGAUCGGGAAACAUUUGCAAGACAUGUAUUCCUCAUUUAUUGUAUUCCAACUUCAUUUCUACAUGGAUUAUUACAAUAAUUUAUCUUCCUGACAAUGUAUGCUGAUGAAGAUUGUUGACAUCAUCACCAUGCAACUUAUCAAAAUACAACAUAAGCUUGAAAAGAAAUCAUUUCUAAUGUUUUCAUUUAUUUUCUAUUCUUUGAAUUUGAUGUGAUGUCUAUUAUAUAUAUAUACACACACAUAAGCCAGGACUGAAAUAGAAUUGAAAAGAUAAUAAACUAUCAAAUUUUAUUCAUUGAGUUUGAGUUGGUUAUUAUUAUUGAGUUGGUUAACUGCAUUCAAACCAAAUGAUGUGAGUCCAGACAAGAAAAUAGGAAAUUCUAUACAUUUGAUAAAAGAUGCAUAUUCUCAGCAAAAUAACAGUGAAGUCAAUGGAUGUUUCUAGAAGGUUCUGACCUUUUCUUCAGCAAAAGAAGUUAAUUUAUCUUGAAUGUGCCUCAAUUAUUCCUACCAUGGAAAUUCUGUCGGAAGACUCUAUCAUGGAUUUUCAGUUGAUGCCAUAUAAAAAAGCUAAGGGUAUUACUGAAAAUAGAGCAAAUACAAGUGCUGCAAGCCAUGUUGCAGUUAUCACAAAUAACAUGAGUUCAGAGUCAAGAGUAUUUGAGUUUUGUGAGCCAUCCUAUUACUUCUCUGUUAAGGAAGUAUCACAACUUGAAUUUAACCAUCAAAGUACUCAUUAACUAGUUUAUUUGAGUUUUGUGAGUCAUCCUAUUACUUCUCUGUUAAGGAAGUAUCACAACUUGAAUUUAACCAUCAAAGUACUCAUUAACUAGUUGACUAUCCACAUUAACUUCUAUGGCUGUACUUAUUAUGCUUUUAUUGAUUUUUUUUAUCUGUGUGUUAUGAUGUUUGUAUUCUUCAAACUAUUCUUUCACCUAAGUAAUUAUUUAACUACUUCUAAGAUAAAAUCUUUUCAAAAGUUUAUUCAAUUAAGAAAGUUCAAGUCAAUCAUAGAUCCAAAGCAAUUUUGAAUUUUUCAUUGUUAUUUGGAAAUGAAUUUCUAGCUUAUACCUGAAUAAAUAGACAAUAUUAAAAGAAUAAUUAAGGAAUACCCGCCCCCACUUCUUGUUAUUUAAACAGAAACAGAAUGCAGUAAAAAAAAAUGUAAAAAAUUGUAUUUAUUAUUCAAAUUGAAUUGGUAUUAAUAAAUUUAUUACAUGAUGAAGUGGGGAGGGGGCUCACAUGUUAGGGAUUGAAGGCGACCUAAUUGUUUCUUAGCAAAGCAUUAUUUUUUAAUAUUUCUUCUAAAGAAAUUCUGCUGAUGAAAAGGAAUAAGAGAUGGAAUUAAAGUUGACAGUGUAUAGCUGUUUCCAUUUUAGAUUAUUUCCUUUUGAUUUUAUUAAGAAAGAUUUUUUUUUCUUUUACCUGGUGACUGAAUUUCAUAUGAAUGGUGUUGGUUCUAUUUUAAUUUUAUGUCCAUAUAGACCAAUAUGCCUUUGCAGUUGUUUCAGCUUUGUGGUACAUGCUUUUGUGCACUUUUCUUAGUUUGAAUUAUGUUAUUAGAGAGUGGUAUAGAAUAGUCUGCAUCAUUCAUUCAAUUGUGAUACCCAUCGAAAUCAGAAUUGCAAAUGUAUGCCUUCACCAUUGUAAUAAUCUUCUGUCAUUAUGUGUUUUGCCUUCUCCAACUAUCAUCAUUAGGUUUUUUUUCAUUAUUGUCUGAUAAAUUCUUUGACAAUUGUAAUCUUAACUGGAAAAAGAUAUUUCCUAAGUAGUAAGAGAGCUCCCAUGUUUGUGUUAUGACUAUAACUAAUACAAUAUGAUGACAUUACAUAUCUAUUAUUCUAUUAUAGUUGAAGUUCAUUUAGAAAGUUUGAAUUUAAAAAUCCUAUAUUUAAAGAAAUAGUUAAAUUUGAUGACUCUUUAUGCUUCAUGGAAAGAUGGCCUUUGGUGCAAGUCUGCUAUUUAUUUAUCUGUGUAUUUUAACAUAUUAAAAAAAAAUAUGCUGUUUAUAAAUUGAAAUUCUUUUCCAAUAAAACAAAGAAUGAAAUACUUUUAUAUAUAUACUUUUAUCCUAAGAGAACUUACUUGAAUUGUUAAAAACAAAUAUAGUUAUUGAAUUCAUAAAAAAAAUUAUCUCAUAGAAAAAUAUAAACCCAUUUUUAAUAGCAAUCUUUUUAAUAAAUUAAAAGAAGCAUUAUUUUUUUAUUAUUAUGAUUUGCAAAAUUUAUUUAACUUCAUAUAAUCUUUUGCCAAGAUGCAAUGACUCUGUAUAGAAGUAUAGUGUGUUUACCAAAGGACGGGGCCAAAUUAUGUGAUAGCUAUGUUCUGUUUUAAGGCAUAUUAAUAUUUUUGU
Argiope bruennichi is the source of this 2645-nucleotide long non-coding RNA. RefSeq lists it as uncharacterized. The record is from RefSeq and is a predicted model, not a curated record. The transcript has 7 exons. NCBI's taxonomy places the organism in Eukaryota, Metazoa, Arthropoda, Arachnida, Araneae, Araneidae.